UCUCAUUUAGUUGUCGUAUUUAGCACAAACGAACAGCAAGUCAGUGUGUCCAGAAAAGGUUUCAAAAUGCAAAAAAUUAUAUUUUUCGUACUCUCGAUGGUUCUUGCACAAGCCAAAUGUGACGAAAAUGUUGAAAUUUUAAACAGUAAAUAUAUACCCAUUGUGAGGGUUGACUUAGUUAAUGGCAAAGCAAUAGAACCACAACUUAAUGCUGUUGAUUUAGUACGUCAAUGGUUGGAUGAACUGGAGUUGUCUGUUUAUAGCUUUAAUCUGCGGCAGGCUAGACUAAUGAAGGAUGGUUAUAUACUCUUUGAAAUGGAUAAGGCCACACAGGCUUCACAUAUUGUUGAUGUAUGGCAGAAUAGUAAAUUGGCUGAAACUUUUAAAGCUGAACAAUCAACAAAUAAUUUCUUUGAUGAUUUUCCUGCUGGAACUUUUGCUUUGUAAUUUCUUCUCCCAGCAAGAAGAAUGACAGAUAAAGAAAUUGUAAACACAAAAAGUCACCCAUUCAAAGAAUCAUCGAGAAAAUGAAGAGACACAUAGAAACAAAAUUUGAACAAUCUGAUCACACUCAAUACGCAGCGCGAAGCUGGAUGCCGACAUCAAGUGUGACCGUUCAUUUACAUUUUAUGGUGCUUUAUGAAUGAAAAUGAAAAAAUGUACUAUCUUUAAUGAAAUUACACAGAGAAAACUAACAAAACGAUUUUAUCUUUAAUUGAAAUUCCAAAACUUUAUUCUUUAACCUUUAAUUAAUAACCAAAAGAGUACAUGUAAAUGCCUAAAAUUCA
Molecule: long non-coding RNA, 788 nt
Organism: Drosophila willistoni
Lineage: Eukaryota; Metazoa; Arthropoda; Insecta; Diptera; Drosophilidae
Exons: 2
Source: RefSeq, a predicted model, not a curated record